This 590-nucleotide long non-coding RNA is filed under the name Cricetulus griseus (Chinese hamster). Its description in RNAcentral is "lncRNA (ENSCGRG00015034800.1)". The record is from RNAcentral. Lineage: Eukaryota; Metazoa; Chordata; Mammalia; Rodentia; Cricetidae.
UAAAUUUUAAAAAUAAUAAUAUAAGUUAAAAUUUUAAUCAUAUUAAGCUGAUUUUGUUUUUAAAAAAAAGUCCUGUUUAUUUCUCAAGUAAUUUAUAUAUAUUUGUUUUAAAAUGUUCUGUUUCCUGGUUUAGCCAGCACAUGGCCAACUGGUCACAUGACUUGACUGGUCGCCAUUUUGCUAAAGUUAAAAAAAAAUACUUAAGCCGCCAUCUUGACUAAAGGUGACCCCAUGGAAAUUAGAGUUUAUAAUGUCAGACAGACUGCCAGAUCCGGACAGUGACCCAAAGUCUCCAAAGAAGAUUACGAGGCACCUCAGUUCCUGCACCUGGACCAGUGAGCGAGAUGCUCAGAUGUGAUACCUGCCGCCUGCCAGAACCUGGCCGAGACUGUGGACAAAGCUGCUGGACACUGGAAAAUUGAUUGCACCCCUUUGCCUAGACAAAACAAGGUUUCUGCUUCUGGCAGACAUCUGAAUAUCAGUUGCUGACUACAGACUGUUCUAAGACUGCGAGCCCUGGACUUGCUGUGGAUGUGAACCAGUUCAGCUGAUAUGGACACCCCCUGUCUCUGCAACAGUGUCUGCUACCC